UCCCGUGUGGCACACUUGGUAGUGCAUGGCACUUGCAAGUCCAGUGUUGUGGGUUCAAUUCCCACGGGGGAU
Salmo salar (Atlantic salmon) is the source of this 72-nucleotide non-coding RNA. Lineage: Eukaryota; Metazoa; Chordata; Actinopteri; Salmoniformes; Salmonidae. The record is from Rfam.